This 253-nucleotide ribosomal RNA is filed under the name uncultured bacterium. RNAcentral describes it as "partial 16S ribosomal RNA". It matches the Rfam family "Bacterial small subunit ribosomal RNA", at positions 524 to 776 of the family's 1533-position model. The record is from RNAcentral.
UACGUAGGGUGCGAGCGUUAAUCGGAAUUACUGGGCGUAAAGCGUGCGCAGGCGGUUUGCUAAGACAGGUGUGAAAUCCCCGGGCUUAACCUGGGAACUGCGCUUGUGACUGGCAGGCUAGAGUACGGCAGAGGGGGGUGGAAUUCCACGUGUAGCAGUGAAAUGCGUAGAGAUGUGGAGGAACACCGAUGGCGAAGGCAGCCCCCUGGGCCUGUACUGACGCUCAUGCACGAAAGCGUGGGGAGCAAACAGG